UAUUCUCAGAGUCAAAAAUAGU
This 22-nucleotide microRNA is filed under the name Ciona intestinalis (vase tunicate). RNAcentral describes it as "cin-miR-4155-3p". Lineage: Eukaryota; Metazoa; Chordata; Ascidiacea; Phlebobranchia; Cionidae. The record is from miRBase by way of RNAcentral.